Molecule: long non-coding RNA, 2671 nt
Organism: Vidua chalybeata
Lineage: Eukaryota; Metazoa; Chordata; Aves; Passeriformes; Viduidae
Exons: 5
Source: RefSeq, a predicted model, not a curated record
UCCUACAAAGCAACUAGCAACAAGAAGCAAUUCUUUGUAUGAGAAAUAUAGCUGUUCUUUUUUUAAGAUGUAGAAGAGGUUUCUUCAGAAAGAUGCAGAAGGAAGUUGAAAAAUGUGGUUUAAAAUUGCAUCACUUGGUUUUACGAAGUCAUGAAUUACAUCAGAUGAAGCAAUACAGCAGCUGAGUGUAGAAUGCAGAUGAAACAAUUUCCCUGCAGAGGACACUGCACUGUCACUUCCAAACCCAACAGGUGGUCAGAGGAGUGACUGUAAAUAUAGAACUGGGGAAGAGGAAACCUUACUGUGAGGUGGAGAGUCAAAAAGAAUUGUUGUGACUACAGUGGCAGAUGCUCAGUGAUAUCCCAGAAGAUGAGCAGAACUUGAAUGUGAAGAUAUUGAUUUUGCUGAAUCUGUUUGAAAAAGAUAUUCCAGAAGCAAAGAAAUACCAUUGAACAAGACAUUGGUGUUUUUGAUUCACAGGAUGACAGUGCAGUAAUUGGGAAGCUCAAAGGAGCAGUGGAAGCCCUCCACACUCUGCCCUCAGUCGAGAAGGAAAUGCAAAGAUGACUACGAGGCAUGAAAGGAAGUUUGCCUACAGAAGAACCUUCUCCCAGUGUAAAUACAUGCUUGAUAGUGCAUCAAAGAUGAGAUCUUUGUAAUUCCUGCAGUAUAUUUAAUGUAUAAUUUAUAUGAAAAGGACGCUUGAUUUGUAGUUGUAAAGUUUUGUAUACUUUUCAGUCUGUUUGUUUUUAUAUUUCCCCCCUAAGGCUAAGAAUAUCUCCACAAUGGACAACGUCUUGUAAAUAAUUAAUACCUACAUGAUUGAACGACGUGCUUUAUUUGCAUUUUUAAGAUUUUUUCCUACAUAAAACAGUAAUAAAAAUGCAAGUCAAAAUUUUAAUUUUUAAUAAAAAAACCAUAAGCCUUAGAAAACUGAUUAAAAAUACUUUUAUGUUAUCCCUAAUCACCCCGUUAAAUGGAAUGCCUGUGAUUAGCCUCAUUAAGAAUUUUAUACUGUGAAGAUUUUAUUAAAAGCAAUAUAUGAAAAUUACUUGGAUUAAUGUGUUAAUCUGCCUCUUUAAAAUGCUAAUAUCCAUUUUAUGCACAUUAAAUCUCAGUAUGUGUUUUCUUUGAUGCAUGCAGUUCCUAUCAAUUAAAUGUUAAAAAUUAGGCUAGUUGCAGGACUUAUUAAAUUACUGCACCCUUUUUUAAAAUAACUUUUACCCUUCUACUAACAUUAUAAUCAGCUGUUUAUGGUUACCAUAAUUUGAAGUAGGGGGAGGGCAGGUGCAAUCAUUUUCUGUACAGUAGAUGAUUUACUUGCAGCCAACAUCUGUCAAAGCAGAAGAAGAAGCCAUAGAGUAUCAGAUUUUGCUUCACCUACUUUGGGCUUUAGGGAUGUGCAACUGUUUUCAUUUGGGUUUUGUCACUUUUAGAACUUACAUCAAACAUAAACAAUAAAUUGUUGUAUCUGAAUAACUACUGUCUAGUGUGGAAAGUUAAUUUUACAGCUUUUAACCAAUCUCAGUGAAGGAUUUAAUUGAUAUUUUUAAUGGAGCUGUGAAUCAAUGCUGCAAAAGGAUUGUCUCUUGAGAACGAGGAUAUAAUACAUUUCAUUUUUUAAUUUACUUUUUUAUUUGUCAUUUUCUUCAAAGGAUUUUAUAGACUGUGGAUUUCCACUGUUUGCAAACAGGCUAUGUUUCUUCAUAAGCAUAUGUAAAGUAUUCAGAGAGAUAAGUAAUUUAUUAAAAUCUACCUAAUUUGCCGUGAUAUAUUAAAUCUCUGCUUCAGUGAUCACAGACCAUUUCAUUUAGAGAAUUAGGCAUUCCCUCUUUGUGUGAUUAAAGCUCUGGAAAAUGAGUUCUUUGCUCCUAUUUGUGAACAUUCAAAGCCUGCUAAUGGCAAGAAGAUGGAAUAGAUUAUGAGACAAUUCAUUACAGUUCAACAGAAAAAAACCCUGCUAUAAUGCAGAAAUGCAAGUAUGAAUAUCUGCAUAUAGUUUGAACCAUCUGUGCUCUAAUGGCUUCAGUAAUGGCUCUUCGUCUUCAGUAGGCUUUGAAAUGACAUCCAUACAAUAUUAAUUUGUUGAUGUACAUUAUGAGGCCAAUGGAAUGAAUAUAUUCUGACCACAGUAAUCUCUGAAUUCCUGCGUGGUCUGCUGGUUGACUCCAUUUUAGGACUUACCAUCUUCUGUAGGGCUUCUCAUCCAGACUUUGCCAAUCCUCAUAGCAUUUCAUUCCUCUGGAACUUUAGGAGACCACAGACAGCUGCAUUCCUAAACCCCUCCAUUCUUCAGUUAAUGGCCAUAUGUUUGUUGUCAUUUGGGCUGGCACUUAGUUCAUCAUUUUGGCCACUAUUUCUAGCUUUUUUUGGCUCUGUGCAUCCACAUUGUCAAUAAGACUGUUAUUAUACAUUACAAUAAUUUGAAACAGCCAGAUUCAACACUAAGAUUAACUGAGUGGCUUUUUAGAAAUUUAGUUGUGGUAUUCUGUCAGGAGGUUCUUAUUAUUCUUCUAAUACUUUGCAAACCAAACUAAAUAUCCUGCACAUAAACAAAGAAGUGAAUUGUAUUGAGUUUUUGUGUGUGACUGUUUACUGACUUGUAGGGGAACUAUGUUAACUGGUGCUUGUUUUCUUCUGAAAUAAACCAUGUGGUAAAAUUAGAAAAUCA